RNAcentral lists this non-coding RNA (48 nucleotides) under Trichobilharzia regenti. The record is from RNAcentral. Lineage: Eukaryota; Metazoa; Platyhelminthes; Trematoda; Strigeidida; Schistosomatidae.
GUACUGAUGAAGAGUCCCAGACACUGGGACGAAACAGCUGUCCAGUAC